UAAAAGGUUCUUAUUAGAACUACACACACACAAAAAAAGAGUAUG
Non-coding RNA from Tauraco erythrolophus (red-crested turaco), 45 nucleotides. The record is from Rfam. NCBI's taxonomy places the organism in Eukaryota, Metazoa, Chordata, Aves, Musophagiformes, Musophagidae.